CGAGCACGCGCGUGUGGCAUAUCAAUAAGCGGAGGAAAAGAAACUAACAAGGAUUCCCUUAGUAACGGCGAGUGAAGCGGGAGGAGCUCAAAUUUGAAAUCUUCAAGGUUCUACCUUGACGAAUUGUAGUUUAUAGAAGUGUUUUCUGUAGUGGAGUUUGGUAAAAGUUCUUUGGAAUAGGACAUCAUAGAGGGUGAGAAUCCCGUAUUUGGAUCAUUAUUUCCUAGCGUUGUGAUACACUUUCAAAGAGUCGGAUUGUUUGGGAAUGCAGUCCAAAAUGGGCGGUAAAUUUCAUCUAAAGCUAAAUACUGGCGAGAGACCGAUAGCGAACAAGUACCGUGAGGGAAAGAUGAAAAGAACUUUGAAAAGAGAGUUAAACAGUACGUGAAAUUGUCAAAAGGGAAGCGUUUGACACCAGUGUUGUUUUUCCGAAAAUCAAUUACGAAUGUUUUAGUUUUUGAGGAGUUAUGACUUCAUCGGCUUGCUUCUCUCUUUAUGAAACUUUCUUAAUGCACUUUUCGGUUAACAAGUCAACAUCAAUUUCUUUUGUUGUAAAAGGGUAUGAGGAAGGUGGCUUUCUUUUCGGAGAAAGUGUUUAUAGCCUUGUAGCCUCUGCAAUCGGAGAGAUUGAGGUCUGCAGCGUAGAUCCUUCGGGGUUAGAUACGUUUGUGCUAAGUUAUAGCUUUUCAUAGACAACUUAGUUGACUAUGUUUAGUCUUGUAGCUUACUCGCUUAUGCUAUUUUACCUACGCUUAGGAUGUUGAGCGCAUGUCUCUCUCU
This 780-nucleotide ribosomal RNA is filed under the name uncultured Neocallimastigales. RNAcentral's name for it is "partial large subunit ribosomal RNA". It matches the Rfam family "Eukaryotic large subunit ribosomal RNA", at positions 19 to 637 of the family's 3401-position model. Lineage: Eukaryota; Fungi; Neocallimastigomycota; Neocallimastigomycetes; Neocallimastigales. The record is from RNAcentral.